This is a long non-coding RNA of Engraulis encrasicolus (European anchovy), 526 nucleotides long. RefSeq lists it as uncharacterized. The record is from RefSeq and is a predicted model, not a curated record. The transcript is spliced from 3 exons. Lineage: Eukaryota; Metazoa; Chordata; Actinopteri; Clupeiformes; Engraulidae.
UCCUUGCCGCCCCUGUGACCCAGCUUUGAUCUUAUAGCAGUCUUCCUCCAUCCUCGUCACCUCUGCCACCACCAUCUCCUUCCUUUCCUUGCGGUUGGCCUUGGACCAGAAGCGUGGUGCAUCUCCCCAUCCCAGACCUGCUCUUCCCACCUCGACUCUGCCCACGAUCUCCUGGUGUUGCAGGCGACUGAACGCUUGUGGUAUGUGAAACCUUGUAGCCUGGAGAAGAGAUGGAACAAGGGACAGACAAAGAAGAAGGAGGAGAAGAAAGCCAAACUGCAGGAGGAGAAUGAGAGGAUAUGGGCCAAAGUCCUGGGGAAAAGGCAACAUCGUCAAGACAGAGGAUUACUAUCACAAGCUCGACUUGAAGAAGAAGUGAGUUCAAAAAGAAGAGGAAAAGGAGUAUAAGGGCGCUAUAACUUAAAAAAUCAGUCAUAGUGCAAAGUCCAAGGAGCAAGGCUGGGAAACACACUGAAGGAAGUGGGAUCAAAAAAGACUUUGUUGAGCUCAUCUCUGAAGAGGACUG